Non-coding RNA from Chelonia mydas (Green sea turtle), 47 nucleotides. The record is from Rfam. NCBI's taxonomy places the organism in Eukaryota, Metazoa, Chordata, Testudines, Cheloniidae.
CCAACGGCUCUUUUAAGAGCCACCCAUCCCUUUCAAAAAAGAGCUGG